RNAcentral lists this transfer RNA (73 nucleotides) under Schistocerca americana (American grasshopper). RNAcentral describes it as "tRNA-Pro". It matches the Rfam family "tRNA". Rfam says of the family: Transfer RNA (tRNA) molecules are approximately 80 nucleotides in length. Their secondary structure includes four short double-helical elements and three loops (D, anti-codon, and T loops). Lineage: Eukaryota; Metazoa; Arthropoda; Insecta; Orthoptera; Acrididae. The record is from RNAcentral. RNAcentral also lists the same sequence under 2 other names.
GGCUCGUUGGUCUAGGGGUAUGAUUCCUGCUUUGGGUGCAGGAGGUCCCGGGUUCAAAUCCCGGACGAGCACU